UACGGAGGGUGCGAGCGUUAAUCGGAAUUACUGGGCGUAAAGCGCGCGUAGGUGGUUUGUUAAGUGGGAUGUGAAAUCCCCGGGCUCAACCUGGGAACUGCAUCCCAAACUGGCAGACUAGAGUACGAUAGAGGGGUGUGGAAUUUCCUGUGUAGCGGUGAAAUGCGUAGAUAUAGGAAGGAACACCAGUGGCGAAGGCGACACCCUGGAUUGAUACUGACACUGAGGUGCGAAAGCGUGGGUAGCGAACAGG
This 253-nucleotide ribosomal RNA is filed under the name uncultured bacterium. RNAcentral describes it as "partial 16S ribosomal RNA". It matches the Rfam family "Bacterial small subunit ribosomal RNA", at positions 524 to 776 of the family's 1533-position model. The record is from RNAcentral.